UGUUGUGUCUUCUUCUCCUUCUUCUGAGUGUGGUUGUUAUGCAGAGUCAAGUUCAGAGAGUGAAGAACUGAGUGAGAUUAUGAGAAUCGAUUUUGGUGCUUUGUGAUUUUGCUAUGAAAUUUGGUGUGUUUGAUGUGUUGUAGAGUUGAGAGAGCUUAUGUUGCAGAUUGCAAAAUGAAAUUCUCAGGCUGCAGAGUGGAGAAGAUCAAUUGCAGGAUAAAGAAAAUUAGUUGCAGAAUGAAGAAAUGUGAUGCAGAAUGACAAAUGGCAAUGCAGGUACUCUUAUA
This 287-nucleotide long non-coding RNA is filed under the name Lathyrus oleraceus (garden pea). RNAcentral's name for it is "Pisum sativum (pea) long non-coding RNA (PSAT_LNC013843)". Lineage: Eukaryota; Viridiplantae; Streptophyta; Magnoliopsida; Fabales; Fabaceae. The record is from RNAcentral.